GCCGGAGUAGCUCAGCUGGUAGAGCAAGCGCCUUGUAAGCGCUAGGUCGUGGGUUCGAGCCCCGCCUCCGGCUCCA
Molecule: transfer RNA, 76 nt
Filed under: Actinomycetota bacterium
Lineage: Bacteria; Bacillati; Actinomycetota
Description: Actinobacteria bacterium tRNA-Thr
Rfam family: tRNA
About the family: Transfer RNA (tRNA) molecules are approximately 80 nucleotides in length. Their secondary structure includes four short double-helical elements and three loops (D, anti-codon, and T loops).
Source: RNAcentral